GUAAACUUAUCGAAAGAUAGGGACACAAAGCUAUGGGGCUAAGGCAAAGUUUUAUUUGUUAUGCUUGCCAGGUUGC
This 76-nucleotide non-coding RNA is filed under the name pig gut metagenome. RNAcentral's name for it is "Cyclic di-GMP-I riboswitch". It matches the Rfam family "c-di-GMP-I riboswitch aptamer", at positions 12 to 83 of the family's 87-position model. From Rfam's summary of the family: GEMM was predicted in a large-scale screen for bacterial structured RNA regulatory elements. Genes associated with GEMM are involved in a diverse array of functions, including chemotaxis regulation, signal transduction, secretion and chitin. The record is from RNAcentral.